Peromyscus leucopus (white-footed mouse) is the source of this 2050-nucleotide long non-coding RNA. RefSeq lists it as uncharacterized. Lineage: Eukaryota; Metazoa; Chordata; Mammalia; Rodentia; Cricetidae. The record is from RefSeq and is a predicted model, not a curated record. The transcript is spliced from 3 exons.
ACUGAUAGGUAUGAGUUUUCCCACCACGUGCAGGUUGUCACCUAGUGAGGGAAGAGACUGACUGAACCCACAGUGAUCACCAUGGUUACCAUGGUUACCAUAUUCCACUGUGUCACAAUUAAAAGGCUUAACUGAGCUCCAGGCAGCAUGCAAGAUGACAGAGCUGGCGAUUAGGGGAGGGUUAGACCCACAGUGUGAGUCCUGAGAUUGAGGGAUUAGACUGAGGACAGCCCCACCCGGGCUUUUCUGUAUUGUGAACUGAGGCUGGUGCGUCUCCUGGAAUGUCACAGCCAGAAGCAUGGGCAUCCCUGGAGGUGGCUCUGGGGAGUCCCCAGGGGCAGGACAGAUGCCGGAAGAACUGUGUGCAAAGCUGGAGCUUUCCUCAAAGUUUGUCCUGCUCGGCUUUUCAAAGUCUCAGGACCGCUGUGGCCGGAGGAGUACGAGGUGCUGGAACCAAGGGAUUAGUCCAUUGCUGGGGGUAGGGGUGGGGGUCCCCGUCCCUCGGAGUUCCUUUCUCUUCUCAGGUUAAUUCCUCCAGGGGAUCCAGCUCCAGUCCUGGAACCCUCAACUCUCAGCUGACUCCAAAGAUUGAAGGGGUGGUGAUUCGCCUUCUGGGGGAGAAGGGAGUGAGACAAGAUGGAAAGGAGCAUCAGGGACAGAACAGUUCCAAAGCUGAUGUGCAAAAGCCAUCACAUGGCAGCUCAGGAUUCAUGGCCAAGGAUCAUUUGCACAGAACUGGUGCAGGUCAGACAAGCAACACCAAUGCCAGAAGCCAUAAAUUCCACGAAAGGCAAGACAUUUUGGUUCUGAGUUACUGAGUGAAGAACUUAAGUGCAGGGGGUGUGGGAACAGCCAUUGAAGAGAGGACCAUUUGCAUAGAUGGAGUCCACCAGCAUUUCCCAGAAUGCUUUUUGUUUUCUACAGUGGUGAGAACUUGUGGCAGAGAUGGGUUUCUCAGUGUAGUUCCAGAAUGAGUGGUGUUUGCCACAAGAUGCUGUCACCAAGUCAGAGAGCAAGCAAGUUAAACCACUGCCUCCCAUCCCUGAUGGUUUGUUAACAAAGUCUCAUGUCCAAAUUACAAUUCCUGGGAAGACAACCUUAUUUGGAAAUAGGGUCUGUGCAAAUAUCAGAAGAACCUCGAAAGGAAAUGAUUCAUAGGACCACUAUUUGUAUGAACCCCCAAUCCAAUGAGAUGUGUCCUUCGAAAGACAUUCAGAGGAGAUGCACAGAGGAAGAGAUGGAGGCAGAGGCUGAGAUUAGAAUGUUACAGUCACAAGCCAAGGUCACCGGAAGCCAUCAGCUGGAAGAGGCGAGAGCAGGCUGUUCUCUUGUCUCUGGAGGGAGUGUGGCACUGCCAACACCUUCCCUUAGGGGGUGGGUCUUCAGUUGAAAGUUUUUGUUGUUUUAAGUUCCCAGGUUUGUGCUCUUGUGUUUCAGGAGCCCCAGGGAGUGAGUACACCACCUGCUCAUGUUGUCUGGUUCCUGGGGUGCUUGUCCCCCCCCUUCUUCCGUGUGCGACUUUUUUCAUCACUCCUUUGAGGUGUCUGCCUGGAGGAGAGUCUCCAUCCCACUGAUGCAUUAUCCAUACAACACAUCCUUAUACCGAGAGUUUCUUAGUUUGGGAGUUGUGGGAUUGGUGCUUGGAGGGAGGAUUCUACUCUCCAGCAUGGACUCUGGGACUUCUUUUGGUUGGUCAAAUAUGAGUGAGUAGCAUCUUGAACCCUUGCAGGUCUGACAGACACUUCUGGUCUAGCAAAUCCACAAAGAAUGGUGUCUGGAAGUAUGUGUGCCCAAACACGUGGGUGUGUUCCUGAGCUGCUCCUUCACAGCCCUCGCACACACAUUGCUUUUAGGAAAGAGCCAGCAGAGCCCUGUCAUAGCCAGAAACGGUCACCCAUCCUGCCAGAAUUGCCUUACAACCAGGAAGAAUUUGGAAUUGAGAUCACUCUGAGCAUAUCCUCCUGAGAAGAGUAGUCAUUUCUAGAAGAAGAAGAAGACAGGUUCCUGCGGGCUGGAGAGAUGGCUCAGUGGUUAAGAGUACCAGCUGUUC